This 29-nucleotide non-coding RNA is filed under the name Rattus norvegicus (Norway rat). Lineage: Eukaryota; Metazoa; Chordata; Mammalia; Rodentia; Muridae. The record is from RNAcentral.
UAAGUACUAAGAAUGUGGUCGAUUGGGCU